CCUUCGAUAGCUCAGUUGGUAGAGCGGAGGACUGUAGAUCCUUCGGUCGCUGGUUCAACUCCGGCUCGAAGGA
This 73-nucleotide transfer RNA is filed under the name Merluccius polli (Benguela hake). RNAcentral describes it as "tRNA-Tyr". It matches the Rfam family "tRNA". Rfam says of the family: Transfer RNA (tRNA) molecules are approximately 80 nucleotides in length. Their secondary structure includes four short double-helical elements and three loops (D, anti-codon, and T loops). The record is from RNAcentral. Lineage: Eukaryota; Metazoa; Chordata; Actinopteri; Gadiformes; Merlucciidae.